CCGGCCUGAGAGGGUGAACGGACACACUGGAACUGAGACACGGUCCAGACUCCUACGGGAGGCAGCAGUAGGGAAUAUUGCUCAAUGGGCGCAAGCCUGAAGCAGCAACGCCGCGUGGAGGAUGAAGGUUUUAGGAUUGUAAACUCCUUUUGUGAGAGAAGAUAAUGACGGUAUCUCACGAAUAAGCACCGGCUAACUCCGUGCCAGCAGCCGCGGUAAUACGGAGGGUGCAAGCGUUACUCGGAAUCACUGGGCGUAAAGAGUGCGUAGGCGGGGUUGUAAGUCAGAUGUGAAAUCCUAUGGCUUAACCAUAGAACUGCAUUUGAAACUACAACUCUGGAGUGUGGGAGAGGUAGGUGGA
RNAcentral lists this ribosomal RNA (361 nucleotides) under uncultured Helicobacter sp. RNAcentral describes it as "bacterial SSU rRNA". It matches the Rfam family "Bacterial small subunit ribosomal RNA", at positions 287 to 665 of the family's 1533-position model. Lineage: Bacteria; Pseudomonadati; Campylobacterota; Epsilonproteobacteria; Campylobacterales; Helicobacteraceae. The record is from RNAcentral.